RNAcentral lists this long non-coding RNA (553 nucleotides) under Bos taurus (domestic cattle). Its description in RNAcentral is "long non-coding RNA NONBTAT017528". The record is from RNAcentral. Lineage: Eukaryota; Metazoa; Chordata; Mammalia; Artiodactyla; Bovidae.
AAGAACUAACUGGCCUUGAGGGCUUAGAAAGGGCACAGUACAUCUAGUAGAGAUGGAGAUACUCUGGUGUAGAGAUGACCCCCAAGAGGGCGAAGCCUAAAUUCCUUCAUCCCUUUCGGCAUCCCCAGCCCCAACAGAAGACCUGCUGCCUUCCCUCCAUCUGAGGCUACUCCAGUCAGUCUUGUCUCCUGUAUUCCAGGCGGUGGGGUGGGGGUGGGAAUUUUCAAUGCUGAAAGGCAAAGUCCAUCACGUGAGGUUUCACGGUAUUUCCCUCUCCACCUUUGCAUGCUUCCUCUUUUGUUCAUUCCCUGUCUGUCACAUCAGACAAGGGUAGGUUCUGUGUGAUCCUCUUUGUACUUCGCCUGGUAUGUUUAAGGGUUACUGGGGAUGAUGAUAAUAAUGUUGGGAAAAAUGCCCAUGGCCCCAGCAAAAGUACACAUUCUCCUUCUGAUCCUCAGCUUGGUAAUAGAGGGUGCAUUAAGGAUAUAUCCACUCAACUUUCUCUAAACAGCUCUAGUAUUAAUGGAAAUUUUAAUGAAAAACUAAGCCUUGA